GCGCCAGACUCCUACGGGAGGCAGCAGUGGGGAAUAUUGCACAAUGGGGGAAACCCUGAUGCAGCGACGCCGCGUGAGUGAAGAAGUAUUUCGGUAUGUAAAGCUCUAUCAGCAGGGAAGAAAAUGACGGUACCUGACUAAGAAGCCCCGGCUAACUACGUGCCAGCAGCCGCGGUAAUACGUAGGGGGCAAGCGUUAUCCGGAUUUACUGGGUGUAAAGGGAGCGUAGACGGCAUGGCAAGUCAGAUGUGAAAGCCCGGGGCUCAACCCCGGGACUGCAUUGGGAACUGGCGUGCUGGAGUGCCGGAGGGGCAGGCGGAAUUCCUGGUGUAGCGGUGAAAUGCGUAGAUAUCAGGAGGAACACCGGUGGCGAAGGCGGCCUGCUGGACGGAUACUGACGCUGAGGCCCGAAAGCGUGGGGAGCGAACAGGAUUAGAUACCCGCGUA
This 447-nucleotide ribosomal RNA is filed under the name uncultured bacterium. RNAcentral describes it as "bacterial SSU rRNA". It matches the Rfam family "Bacterial small subunit ribosomal RNA", at positions 328 to 792 of the family's 1533-position model. The record is from RNAcentral.